RNAcentral lists this ribosomal RNA (208 nucleotides) under uncultured bacterium. RNAcentral's name for it is "partial 16S ribosomal RNA". It matches the Rfam family "Bacterial small subunit ribosomal RNA", at positions 568 to 775 of the family's 1533-position model. The record is from RNAcentral.
CUCGUAGGCGGUUCGUCGCGUCCGGUGUGAAAGUCCAUCGCUUAACGGUGGAUCCGCGCCGGGUACGGGCGGGCUUGAGUGCGGUAGGGGAGACUGGAAUUCCCGGUGUAACAGUGGAAUGUGUAGAUAUCGGGAAGAACACCAAUGGCGAAGGCAGGUCUCUGGGCCGUCACUGACGCUGAGGAGCGAAAGCGUGGGGAGCGAAACA